UUUACUGGGAACACAGAAGUUCUUGGGCUCAAGCCACUCUGUGGCCCUUUCCACUGCCAAGUGGGCAGAGCACAGAAAGGCUGCUGGAGCAAUGCUGGAAUUCCAAGUUGGUGGAGGAUAGAAUAACACAAUACAGACUGAUCUUCGGCGGAAAAGAGUGAGCACACCCGACUUCUAGUACAGGAACAACUGCAACUCAGAUAUAAAGCACCUAAGCCCUGCUGAUUAUACUUCCUGAGCCUAGAUCACUCGUUAUACAGAUGUGUUCUCCUCUCCUGAUUGUCUAAUUAAUACUGUCAUUUAAAUAAAUUAAAAGAGCA
Molecule: long non-coding RNA, 320 nt
Filed under: Mus pahari (shrew mouse)
Lineage: Eukaryota; Metazoa; Chordata; Mammalia; Rodentia; Muridae
Description: lncRNA (MGP_PahariEiJ_G0005370.1)
Source: RNAcentral